Molecule: ribosomal RNA, 736 nt
Filed under: uncultured eukaryote
Lineage: Eukaryota
Description: bacterial SSU rRNA
Rfam family: Eukaryotic small subunit ribosomal RNA
Source: RNAcentral
GGGCGUGUGUGCCGUGUCGUGUUUGUCAUCCUUCCAGAGAGCUGCGUCUACCAUUCACUUGGCCGGACGUACGCGAUCUGGAUCGAUUACUUUGAAAAAAUUAGAGUGUUUAAAGCAGGCUUACGCUGUGAAUACAUUAGCAUGGAAUAAUAAUUUAGGACUUCGGUUCUAUUUUGUUGGUUUCUAGGACUGAAGUAAUGAUUGAUAGGGACAGUUGGGGGUGCUAGUAUUCCGCGGCCAGAGGUGAAAUUCUUGGAUUCGCGGAAGACUAACUACUGCGAAAGCAUUCACCAAGGAUGUCUUCUUUAAUCAAGAACGAAAGUUGGGGGAUCGAAGACGAUCAGAUACCGUCGUAGUCUCAACCAUAAACUAUACCGACUAAGGAUCAGUGAACGUUGAUUUACGACUUCAUUGGCACUUUGUGAGAAAUCAAAGUCUUUGGGUUCCGGGGGGAGUAUGGUCGCAAGGCUGAAACUUAAAGGAAUUGACGGAAGGGCACCACCAGGUGUGGAGCCUGCGGCUUAAUUUGACUCAACACGGGGAAACUUACCAGGUCAAAACAUGGGUGGGAUUGACAGAUUGAGAGCUCUUUCUUGAUUCUAUGGGUGGUGGUGCAUGGCCGUUCUUAGUUGGUGGAGUGAUUUGUCUGCUUAAUUGCGUUAACGAACGAGACCUUAACCUGCUUACUAGACGCGUGCUGUACAGAAGCGCGCGCUCUUCUUAGAGGGACUAUGCG